UACAUGGGGUGCAAACGUUGCUCGGAAUUAUUGGGCGUAAAGCGCACGUAGGCGGUUUGUUAAGUCGGCUGUGAAAUCCCUCGGCUCAACUGAGGAAGUGCAUCCGAAACUGGCAGGCUUGAGUACUAAAGAGGGUCGCGGAAUUCCCGGUGUAGAGGUGAAAUUCGUAGAUAUCGGGAGGAACACCGGUGGCGAAGGCGGCGACCUGGGUAGAUACUGACGCUGAGGUGCGAAAGCGUGGGGAGCAAACAGG
Molecule: ribosomal RNA, 253 nt
Filed under: uncultured bacterium
Lineage: Bacteria
Description: partial 16S ribosomal RNA
Rfam family: Bacterial small subunit ribosomal RNA
Source: RNAcentral